GACGAACGCUGGCGGCGUGCUUAACACAUGCAAGUCGAACGGAAAGGCCCCUUUGGGGGUACUCGAGUGGCGAACGGGUGCGUAACACGUGAGUAACCUGCCCUUGACUUCGGGAUAACUUCAGGAAACUGGGGCUAAUACCGGAUAGGAAUCCUUGCUGCAUGGUGGGGGUUGGAAAGCUUCGGCGGUUUUGGAUGGACUCGCGGCUUAUCAGCUUGUUGGUGGGGUAGUGGCUUACCAAGGCUUUGACGGGUAGCCGGCCUGAGAGGGCGACCGGCCACAUUGGGACUGAGAGACGGCCCAGACUCCUACGGGAGGCAGCAGUGGGGAAUAUUGCACAAGGGGCGGAAGCCUGAUGCAGCAACGCCGCGGGCGGGAUGACGGCCUUCGGGUUGUAAACCGCUUUCAGCAGGGGCGAAGCUUGUGGUGACGGUACCUGCAGAAGAAGCACCGGCUAACUACGUG
This 465-nucleotide ribosomal RNA is filed under the name uncultured bacterium. Its description in RNAcentral is "partial 16S ribosomal RNA". It matches the Rfam family "Bacterial small subunit ribosomal RNA", at positions 28 to 507 of the family's 1533-position model. The record is from RNAcentral.